UACGGAGGAUCCAAGCGUUAUCCGGAUUCAUUGGGUUUAAAGGGUCCGUAGGCGGAUUUUAAGUCAGUGGUGAAAGCCGACAGCUCAACUGUCGAACUGCCAUUGAUACUGGAAAUCUUGAGUACAAAUGAAGUAGGCGGAAUGAGUCAUGUAGCGGUGAAAUGCAUAGAUAUGACUCAGAACACCGAUUGCGAAGGCAGCUUACUAACAUGUAACUGACGCUGAGGGACGAAAGCGU
This 238-nucleotide ribosomal RNA is filed under the name uncultured bacterium. Its description in RNAcentral is "partial 16S ribosomal RNA". It matches the Rfam family "Bacterial small subunit ribosomal RNA", at positions 524 to 762 of the family's 1533-position model. The record is from RNAcentral.